UACACCGGUGACGCUGCCGACAACCCCGUAAAGGACGACAGGGAAAGCAACCCCGCCAAGCCCCAACCGCCUCGCGCCGCAGGUCGGAACCCACCACUCCCUCGGGUGAACAUCACCAACUCGGCUUGCGCGCUGCCCUGUCGCGCCCCAUACGCUCACGCCGAGCGCACCACCGCACCACCGCACCACCACGCAACCGCACCACCGCACCACCACACAACCGCAGACAUGCGACGGCCCCCGCCGGGACUGGCAUCCCAAUGCGAGGGCCUGACCACCGAGGAAGAAAGCCGCUUCCCG
Molecule: non-coding RNA, 300 nt
Filed under: Streptomyces silvensis
Lineage: Bacteria; Bacillati; Actinomycetota; Actinomycetes; Kitasatosporales; Streptomycetaceae
Description: Streptomyces sRNA 4677
Rfam family: Streptomyces sRNA 4677
About the family: Located in the intergenic region between anti-sigma factor SCO4677 gene and a putative regulatory protein gene SCO4676. scr4677 expression requires the SCO4677 activity and scr4677 sRNA itself seem to affect the levels of the SCO4676-associated transcripts.
Source: Rfam by way of RNAcentral